Molecule: transfer RNA, 65 nt
Filed under: Potamon fluviatile
Lineage: Eukaryota; Metazoa; Arthropoda; Malacostraca; Decapoda; Potamidae
Description: tRNA-Lys
Source: RNAcentral
CACCCGAUGACUGAAAGUAAGUAUAGGUCUUUUAAACCUAUUAUAGUAACGCCUACUUCUGGUGG